Molecule: long non-coding RNA, 621 nt
Organism: Daphnia magna
Lineage: Eukaryota; Metazoa; Arthropoda; Branchiopoda; Diplostraca; Daphniidae
Exons: 3
Source: RefSeq, a predicted model, not a curated record
CCAGGUAUACAGUUUGUUGUCCGGUCCAUGGAGAUAAUUUUGUUGAACAUUGUACGCGGCUUCUUUUCUCAUCUUUUAGAAACAAUGCCAUUGCGCAGCUUGGUUCCCUAUGCCUUUUGUUUAUUGCUUUGCUGAUAGGGCAAAUCGAUGUGGUUGUCAUCAUGCAGCGAUGUGCUUCGUGUGUUGACAAUUCGGUAAACGCUUGUCUAUCGUUUGCCACAGCUAAGAAUGCCGGUAACGGAUGAAACUGUGCCCCUUGGGUGGCGUUUUUCGUUGGUCUUGGCAAGCUUAUUACCUCGUAUAGUGUGAAUCCAAAUGGGAACUCGAACACAGGUGUCUCCCAUUUGAAUAGAAGGGCUCAAUGACCAUCCAGAUGGCAAGAUUGCUUUUAUUUCCUUUAACACUGCUUGGAUUUGCAUAGGUGGGAAAAGUAGUGCUGGAAGUCUUUCCAUUGCCAUUGUUGCUAGGCCGACGGCAAAAUCUUCAAUCGAUUCGUCCAGCCAUGCCAAGGCUGACUUGAUUUCACGAAAGGUGUUUUCAAUGGCUGCUCUGGCUAUUUCAUGUUUUUCAACUUCUUGGCGUUUUGCAGUUCUUCAACGGCGUUCGACGUUGAUUUUGUUU